Molecule: ribosomal RNA, 253 nt
Filed under: uncultured prokaryote
Description: partial 16S ribosomal RNA
Rfam family: Bacterial small subunit ribosomal RNA
Source: RNAcentral
UACAGAGGUCCCAAGCGUUGUUCGGAUUCACUGGGCGUAAAGGGUGCGUAGGUGGUGGGGUAAGUCCGAUGUGAAAGCUCCGAGCUCAACUCGGAAAUUGCAUUAGAAACUACCCUGCUGGAGGAUUGGAGGGGGGACUGGAAUUCUCGGUGUAGCAGUGAAAUGCGUAGAUAUCGAGAGGAACACCAGUGGCGAAGGCGAGUCCCUGGACAAUUCCUGACACUGAGGCACGAAAGCUAGGGGAGCAAACAGG